RNAcentral lists this unclassified non-coding RNA (266 nucleotides) under Hevea brasiliensis (rubber tree). Lineage: Eukaryota; Viridiplantae; Streptophyta; Magnoliopsida; Malpighiales; Euphorbiaceae. The record is from RNAcentral.
GACAAACGUGUUGAAACGGCGGAAGCACACGUUGCUGCUCUUCAAAAACAAGCAGCAGAUCUUCUUUUAGAAUACGACCGUCUAUUAGAAGACAAUCAAAAUCUUCAGAAUCAAGCUCAUGGUUAUCGGAGUUGAGAAAAAUAGACAGAAGCAGUUGGUUCAAAUUUUUGAUAAUUAUGUGCCUGCAUGUCUUGACCCUUCUUUAAGCAGAAACGGAUUUUGGGAAAUGUUGUUACUCAAUGAGAAUUUUGUAGUAUUGCUUUUCA